CUACGGGGGGCAGCAGUGGGGAAUUUUGCGCAAUGGGGGAAACCCUGACGCAGCAAUACCGCGUGAGUGAAGAAGGCCUUUGGGUCGUAAAGCUCUUUUCUUGGGGAAGAUAGUGACGGUACCCAAGGAAUAAGCACCGGCUAACUCCGUGCCAGCAGCCGCGGUAAUACGGAGGGUGCAAGCGUUGUUCGGAUUUACUGGGCGUAAAGGGCACGUAGGCGGCACAGCAAGUUAAGGGUGAAAUCCCGGGGCUCAACUCCGGAACUGCUCUUAAAACUACUGAGCUAGAGAUAGUCAGAGGCGGGUGGAAUUCCAGGUGUAGAGGUGAAAUUCGUAGAUAUCUGGAGGAACACCGGUGGCGAAGGCGGCCCGCUGGGGCUAUUCUGACGCUAAGGUGCGAAAGCGUGGGGAGCAAACGGGAUUAGAUACCCUGGUAGUC
This 439-nucleotide ribosomal RNA is filed under the name uncultured bacterium. RNAcentral's name for it is "partial 16S ribosomal RNA". It matches the Rfam family "Bacterial small subunit ribosomal RNA", at positions 339 to 795 of the family's 1533-position model. The record is from RNAcentral.